Non-coding RNA from Triticum aestivum (bread wheat), 115 nucleotides. Lineage: Eukaryota; Viridiplantae; Streptophyta; Magnoliopsida; Poales; Poaceae. The record is from Rfam.
AACCUACUCCCUCCGUUCGGAAAUACUCGUAGUUGAAAUUGAUGUAUCUAGAUGUAUUUUAGUUCUAGAUAUAUCCAUUUUAAUGACAAGUAAUUUCGAACGGAGGGAGUAGGUA